AGUGGGGAAUAUUGCACAAUGGGCGCAAGCCUGAUGCAGCCAUGCCGCGUGUGUGAAGAAGGCCUUCGGGUUGUAAAGCACUUUCAGUUGUGAGGAAGGUUGUGUGGUUAAUACCCACAUAAUUUGACGUUAGCAACAGAAGAAGCACCGGCUAACUCCGUGCCAGCAGCCGCGGUAAUACGGAGGGUGCGAGCGUUAAUCGGAAUUACUGGGCGUAAAGCGUACGCAGGCGGCUUUUUAAGCCAGAUGUGAAAUCCCCGGGCUUAACCUGGGAAUGGCAUUUGGAACUGGAAAGCUAGAGUUUUGUAGAGGGUGGUAGAAUUUCAGGUGUAGCGGUGAAAUGCGUAGAGAUCUGAAGGAAUACCAGUGGCGAAGGCGGCCACCUGGACAAGAACUGACGCUCAUGUACGAAAGCGUGGGGAGCAAA
Molecule: ribosomal RNA, 427 nt
Filed under: uncultured Aliagarivorans sp.
Lineage: Bacteria; Pseudomonadati; Pseudomonadota; Gammaproteobacteria; Alteromonadales; Alteromonadaceae
Description: bacterial SSU rRNA
Rfam family: Bacterial small subunit ribosomal RNA
Source: RNAcentral